CUUCAGAUUUUAGCAGUUUAAACAGACUAUGAUAUGGCAAAUCUGAAUUUCGAGCUUAGUCACUCGCCUCACUCUCUAAGCUUGCAGAAGACUUUGCUAGGUGGCAGAUACACUGAUCUGAAGAGGUUAGGUGGGACCAACAGUGUUGUAUUUUCUGCGCUUGAUACUCCAUCAAAACACAGGGUUGCGAUCAAGCGACUGACCGCUUUAACAGACCAGCAAUGUCGAGCAGCAAUAAGAGAAAUAAGGAUUCUACGCCAUCUUGAGCACGACAACAUUGUCGACUUGUUUGAAAUACUGGGACUUGUUGAUCGGGAGAGGUCAGACAGAAAAGAGCUUCUCGCAGUGUAUCUGGUGUUGGAGCAUUGUGAUACGGACUUGCACUUUGUAUUGAAAAAUCAAACCCUUGACAGUGAACAUGUAAAACUUUUCUCAUAUCAGUUAUUGAAAGCUGCAAAAUACAUUCACUCCUCCAAUUGUGUCCAAGGCGCCUUAUCCGUCAUACUUUUCUGAUUAACCUUGAUAAGGGAGAGUUAAAAAUUUGUGAUUUUGGCAGUGCCAGGAUGAUAGAUCCUAAUUACGAUCAUACGGGAUAUCUUACUGGUGGAAAAAGCACUUUGUGGUACAGAGCUCCAGAGUGCAUCAUCACCCCACAAUAGUAUAAUAAACGUUGUGACAUCUGGUCGAUUGGUUGCGUUAUUGCUGAAAUGAUUUCAGGUAAACCCCUAUACCCGGGUAAAUACGAGCACGAGCAGCUACUCCUCAUGUCGGAGGGAGUAUG
This is a long non-coding RNA of Bolinopsis microptera, 781 nucleotides long. RefSeq lists it as uncharacterized. The transcript has 4 exons. The record is from RefSeq and is a predicted model, not a curated record. NCBI's taxonomy places the organism in Eukaryota, Metazoa, Ctenophora, Tentaculata, Lobata, Bolinopsidae.